GGUUAAGUUAGAAAGGGCGCACGGUGAAUGCCUUGGCACUAGGAGCCGAUGAAGGACGGGACUAACACCGAUAUGCUUCGGGGAGCUGUAAGUGAGCUUUGAUCCGGAGAUUUCCGAAUGGGGAAACCCACUGUUCGUAAUGGAACAGUAUCUUUAUCUGAAUACAUAGGAUAUUGAAGGCAGACCCGGGGAACUGAAACAUCUAAGUACCCGGAGGAAGAGAAAGCAAAUGCGAUUUCCUGAGUAGCGGCGAGCGAAACGGAAUUAGCCCAAACCAAGAGGCUUGCCUCUUGGGGUUGUAGGACACUCUAUACGGAGUUACAAAGGAACGAAGUAAAUGAAGCGACCUGGAAAGGUCCGUCGAAGAAGGUAACAACCCUGUAGUUGAAACUUCGUUCCCUCUUGAGUGGAUCCUGAGUACGGCGGAACACGUGAAAUUCCGUCGGAAGCUGGGAGGACCAUCUCCCAAGGCUAAAUACUACCUAGUGACCGAUAGUGAACCAGUACCGUGAGGGAAAGGUGAAAAGCACCCGGAAGGGGAGUGAAAGAGAUCCUGAAACCGUGUGCCUACAAGUAGUCAGAGCCCGUUAACGGGUGAUGGCGUGCCUUUUGUAGAAUGAACCGGCGAGUUACGAUCCCAUGCAAGGUUAAGCUGAUAAGGCGGAGCCGUAGCGAAAGCGAGUCUGAAUAGGGCGUUUAGUAUGUGGUUGUAGACCCGAAACCAGGUGAUCUACCCAUGUCCAGGGUGAAGUUCAGGUAACACUGAAUGGAGGCCCGAACCCACGCACGUUGAAAAGUGCGGGGAUGAGGUGUGGGUAGCGGAGAAAUUCCAAUCGAACCUGGAGAUAGCUGGUUCUCUCCGAAAUAGCUUUAGGGCUAGCCUCAUGUUGUGAGAGUCUUGGAGGUAGAGCACUGAUUGGACUAGGGGCCCCCAACGGGUUACCGAAUUCAGUCAAACUCCGAAUGCCAAAGACUUAUCCAUGGGAGUCAGACUGCGAGUGAUAAGAUCCGUAGUCAAAGGGAAACAGCCCAGACCACCAGCUAAGGUCCCCAAGUAUACGUUAAGUGGAAAAGGAUGUGGAGUUGCUUAGACAACCAGGAUGUUGGCUUAGAAGCAGCCACCAUUUAAAGAGUGCGUAAUAGCUCACUGGUCGAGUGACUCUGCGCCGAAAAUGUACCGGGGCUAAACGUAUCACCGAAGCUGUGGAUUGACAUCUUUGAUGUCAGUGGUAGGAGAGCGUUCUAAGUGCAGCGAAGUCAGACCGUAAGGACUGGUGGAGCGCUUAGAAGUGAGAAUGCCGGUAUGAGUAGCGAAAGACAAGUGAGAAUCUUGUCCACCGAAUGCCUAAGGUUUCCUGAGGAAGGCUCGUCCGCUCAGGGUUAGUCGGGACCUAAGCCGAGGCUGAAAAGCGUAGGCGAUGGCCAACAGGUUGAUAUUCCUGUACCACCUCCCCGCCGUUUGAGUAAUGGGGGGACGCAGUAGGAUAGGGUAAGCGCGCUGCUGGAUAUGCGCGUUCAAGCAGUUAGGCUGAUGAGUAGGCAAAUCCGCUCAUCAUAAAGGCUGAGCUGUGAUGACGAGGGAAUUAUAGUACCGAAGUUCCUGAUUCCACACUGCCAAGAAAAGCCUCUAGCGAGGCGGGAGGUGCCCGUACCGCAAACCGACACAGGUAGGCGAGGAGAGAAUCCUAAGGUGAUCGAGAGAACUCUCGUUAAGGAACUCGGCAAAAUGACCCCGUAACUUCGGGAGAAGGGGUGCUCUGGUAGGGUGUAUAGCCCGAGAGAGCCGCAGUGAAUAGGCCCAGGCGACUGUUUAGCAAAACACAGGUCUCUGCGAAGCCGCAAGGCGAAGUAUAGGGGCUGACGCCUGCCCGGUGCUGGAAGGUUAAGAGGAGGGGUUAUCCUUUGGGAGAAGCUCUGAAUCGAAGCCCCAGUAAACGGCGGCCGUAACUAUAACGGUCCUAAGGUAGCGAAAUUCCUUGUCGGGUAAGUUCCGACCCGCACGAAAGGCGUAACGAUCUGGGCACUGUCUCAACGAGAGACUCGGUGAAAUUAUAGUACCUGUGAAGAUGCAGGUUACCCGCGACAGGACGGAAAGACCCCGUGGAGCUUUACUGUAGCCUGAUAUUGAAUUUUGGUACAGCUUGUACAGGAUAGGUAGGAGCCUGAGAAGCCGGAGCGCUAGCUUCGGUGGAGGCGUCGGUGGGAUACUACCCUGGCUGUAUUGAAAUUUAACCCGCGGCCCUGAUCGGGCCGGGAGACAGUGUCAGGUGGGCAGUUUGACUGGGGCGGUCGCCUCCUAAAAUGUAACGGAGGCGCCCAAAGGUUCCCUCAGAAUGGUUGGAAAUCAUUCGUAGAGUGUAAAGGCACAAGGGAGCUUGACUGCGAGACCUACAAGUCGAGCAGGGACGAAAGUCGGGCUUAGUGAUCCGGUGGUUCCGCAUGGAAGGGCCAUCGCUCAACGGAUAAAAGCUACCCCGGGGAUAACAGGCUUAUCUCCCCCAAGAGUCCACAUCGACGGGGAGGUUUGGCACCUCGAUGUCGGCUCAUCGCAUCCUGGGGCUGUAGUCGGUCCCAAGGGUUGGGCUGUUCGCCCAUUAAAGCGGUACGCGAGCUGGGUUCAGAACGUCGUGAGACAGUUCGGUCCCUAUCCGUCGUGGGCGUAGGAAAUUUGAGAGGAGCUGUCCUUAGUACGAGAGGACCGGGAUGGACACACCGCUGGUGUACCAGUUGUCUUGCCAAAGGCAUCGCUGGGUAGCUAUGUGUGGACGGGAUAAGUGCUGAAAGCAUCUAAGCAUGAAGCCCCCCUCAAGAUGAGAUUUCCCAUAGCGCAAGCUAGUAAGAUCCCUGAAAGAUGAUCAGGUUGAUAGGUCAGAGGUGGAAGCGUGGCGACAUGUGUAGCUGACUGAUACUAAUCGAUCGAGGACUUAACCAA
RNAcentral lists this ribosomal RNA (2932 nucleotides) under Priestia megaterium. Its description in RNAcentral is "23S ribosomal RNA". It matches the Rfam family "Bacterial large subunit ribosomal RNA". Lineage: Bacteria; Bacillati; Bacillota; Bacilli; Caryophanales; Bacillaceae. The record is from RNAcentral.